UCCUACGGGAGGCAGCAGUGGGGAAUUUUGCGCAAUGGACGAAAGUCUGACGCAGCAACGCCGCGUGAAGGAUGAAGGCCCUUGGGUCGUAAACUUCUGUCAGUGGGGAAGAAAUGCCCGCAAGGGAGCUGACGGUACCCACAAAGGAAGCACCGGCUAACUCCGUGCCAGCAGCCGCGGUAAUACGGAGGGUGCAAGCGUUGUUCGGAAUUAUUGGGCGUAAAGCGCGUGUAGGCGGUCUGUUAAGUCUGGUGUGAAAGCCCUGGGCUCAACCCAGGAAGUGCAUUGGAUACUGGCAGACUUGAGUAUGGGAGAGGAAAGUGGAGUUCCGAGUGUAGGAGUGAAAUCCGUAGAUAUUCGGAGGAACACCAGUGGCGAAGGCGGCUUCCUGGACCAAUACUGACGCUGAGACGCGAAAGCGUGGGGAGCAAACAGGAUUAGAUACCCGGGUAG
This 453-nucleotide ribosomal RNA is filed under the name uncultured bacterium. RNAcentral describes it as "bacterial SSU rRNA". It matches the Rfam family "Bacterial small subunit ribosomal RNA", at positions 337 to 793 of the family's 1533-position model. The record is from RNAcentral.